AUGGAUCUGUUUUGGCAAAAAUCCUUCCAUGGUUCUUGAAGAAGCAUGGAUUAGAAGUGAGAGGGUCCUCACCCCUCACACUACACCACUUCCAAUAGUUUGUUUGGGCUUAGCUAUUGGCUUCUCUAAUCACCAAGAGAUAUGUAUACAAAAAAACAUUCUCUAUGACUAGCAGAUGCAUAUAAGCAUUCUCCAAUGGAGCAAAGGCUUUCUUUGGCUACAGCCUCAGCAAACCGGCAAGUCACAAAAAGGCAUGGACUCCAUUAGGGUCCU
Non-coding RNA from Lupinus angustifolius (narrow-leaved blue lupine), 273 nucleotides. The record is from Rfam. Lineage: Eukaryota; Viridiplantae; Streptophyta; Magnoliopsida; Fabales; Fabaceae.